Haliotis rubra (blacklip abalone) is the source of this 182-nucleotide long non-coding RNA. RefSeq lists it as uncharacterized. The record is from RefSeq and is a predicted model, not a curated record. NCBI's taxonomy places the organism in Eukaryota, Metazoa, Mollusca, Gastropoda, Lepetellida, Haliotidae. The transcript has 3 exons.
AAUAAAGAGUUUGUUGUCACAGACAGACAGAUUAUUUAUUUGAGUCUCACCUCACUUGUAAAAUACAGGACACAUAUAAGCUAUAAUACAGAAUAAAAGUGAGCUACCCGUUUAGGGUUAUGAGAGACUAUUGUAGACUUUAAGAACAAACAUAAAUAUACACCAUGAGUGAGUGAGUGAGU